GACGAACGCUGGCGGCGUGCCUAAUACAUGCAAGUAGAACGCUGAAGGAGGAGCUUGCUUCUCUGGAUGAGUUGCGAACGGGUGAGUAACGCGUAGGUAACCUGCCUGGUAGCGGGGGAUAACUAUUGGAAACGAUAGCUAAUACCGCAUAACAGUAGAUGUUGCAUGACAUUUGCUUAAAGGGUGCAAUUGCAUCACUACCAGAUGGACCUGCGUUGUAUUAGCUAGUUGGUGGGGUAACGGCUCACCAAGGCGACGAUACAUAGCCGACCUGAGAGGGUGAUCGGCCACACUGGGACUGAGACACGGCCCAGACUCCUACGGGAGGCAGCAGUAGGGAAUCUUCGGCAAUGGACGGAAGUCUGACCGAGCAACGCCGCGUGAGUGAAGAAGGUUUUCGGAUCGUAAAGCUCUGUUGUAAGAGAAGAACGGGUGUGAGAGUGGAAAGUUCACACUG
Molecule: ribosomal RNA, 457 nt
Filed under: Streptococcus mitis
Lineage: Bacteria; Bacillati; Bacillota; Bacilli; Lactobacillales; Streptococcaceae
Description: bacterial SSU rRNA
Rfam family: Bacterial small subunit ribosomal RNA
Source: RNAcentral